Bos taurus (domestic cattle) is the source of this 1812-nucleotide long non-coding RNA. The record is from Ensembl. NCBI's taxonomy places the organism in Eukaryota, Metazoa, Chordata, Mammalia, Artiodactyla, Bovidae.
CUUGCGGGCACACCCCAGCCCCUAGGAAGACAUGUAGGGCGGGGAGCUCAGUACCAUAUAUCAGCACGGGGGAGGAGGCUAAACUGGACUCGUGGGUCCGGAGCAUCUGACGUGGAACUGAAAAAUAAAGAAUGGGAUGCCAGGGCGGGAAGGUGAAGGGCAUAUAAUCCCAGCCUUGUUUUAAGCAGGAGUUCUCUGCCACUCAGGGCAUCUACGGUUACCCAGCGACCUACCCCAGCUGGGACCCAGGCUUGCUCACCUCCUCAGCCCAGCUCACUCUCGGUUUGGGGGGUCGUUUGGUCCUUCGGGACUCAAAGGGGGCUCUGUUCUUAGUGAUGCCUUUCCGUGACUUUGACGGAUGCCAUCAGCUGAAAGAGGGCUCGGGGGGGGCAAAAGCCACACAAGAAUGAUGCCACAGGCAGCCCCUGGGGACCCAGACCAGCCUUGGUGCCUGGCCAAGGGACCGCCGGCAGCAUCUUUCCGGGGGCUCCCCCUCUCUCCCUCAUCAGCUGGCCCAUCCCUCAGUUUCCUCAUCCAGAGAAGGGAUGCGUGAUCCCAGGAGGAGGCCUCCGAUGAUGUCAAGUGGGUGGAGGAAAUUACGAAACAAGGUACUUUGAGCCUCCCAGCGGGAAAUUGGGGUAAAUUCCUGAUAUCCGGUACUGCGUGCUUUUCUUGGUAGAGGCAUAAUUGAGGCAAGGUGGCAAAUGGUGCAAAACAGGCCCUCCUGGGGGACCUAGCAGGCUGCUAGUGACUGGAUGAUGGGGGGUGGUCUCCAGCCAGCCCCCACUUCCUGGGCCCCCUCUGAGCCUCAGUUUCUCCUUCUAGGAGGAGCAGGCUGGAUGUGACGGCUGCAGACACCUGCUGGCUUUCAGGAGAUUCCUCUCUGCUCCACCACAGACAGCAGGCAGCCCAGCUCCGUGGCAGGGCAGCAAGCCUCACUGUGGGAAGGGGACCGCCUCGGGUCUCCCCAGUGUCUGGGGGGUCUGCUGCUAAUUGGAUUGUAAAAGAUGAUCCCUCUGCACAGCUGUCUGCAAGCCAGGCCCCAGUGACACAGGAGAUCUUCUUUCCUGCUGACUGGGAUGGAGAUGUAAGGGCCGGUGCUGAAGUGGCCACCGUGAGCAAGGUGGCUCUGGACAAAGAGGACCUAUGUGGACACUCAGAUAGAACAGAAGCUAGCCUCCAUUUCAAGCCUCGCUGUUUCCCCAUCACACGUUCUGGUUAUCGCCGGACAAGUUCCUCACUUGUAAGACCAGCAAAGACAGUUACUCAACCCAAGAUGCUUAAGGAAGCCCCCCAGGAUCAACGUGGUCACCCCAUCCUGCUGCCCUGAGGGUCGUCCAGUUCGGCAGACACUGGCCCAGUGCCUCCUGCUCCUGGCACUGGGAAUGCCAAGAGGCUUCAAGGUGACCACUGCCCUCGCAGCCAUCCUUGGUCAGAGGGUGUCCAGCCACGUCCGACAGCAGGCUCAGCCCGACGAUGGGCGUGGUGUGCAGGACGGUCCACGGGCCUCCACCCGGGAACUCCGUGGUAAAGAUGUGACUCAGGAAACAGGAGUGAGCGGCCACGCUCAGGCCACCUCCGAUGCCUUCUUCUCCGUGGAUCAUUGAAUUACAUGCAUAUUUCAGUGAAGAUGAUUAUCUCCUUGCUGGUUUCGGAAGAUGUAUUUAGGGGAGGUAUUUCAAUUCUGUUGUCAUUUAAAACUAAAAAUCAAAACAUCAUUUUUGAUGUCCAGGGUUCUUUCUUCCGCCGAAAUACACACUGUGGUGUGUUACAAUCAUGUCUCCACCAUUUGCGCCUUAGAUGUACUUGUAG